UCUCCGUUGGUGAACCAGCGGAGGGAUCAUUAUAGAGUUUUCUAAACUCCCAACCCUUUGUGAACUUACCUUUGUUGCCUCGGCGGGGCCUACCCGGUACCGACCCCUUUUGGGCGAAGUUACCCUGUAGCCCGCCGGAGCUACAAAACUCUAGCUGUUUUAGUAACCUUCUGAGGAACAAGCAAAUAAAGUUAAAACUUUCAGCAACGGAUCUCUUGGUUCUGGCAUCGAUGAAGAACGCAGC
RNAcentral lists this unclassified non-coding RNA (244 nucleotides) under uncultured fungus. Its description in RNAcentral is "sequence contains ITS1, 5.8S rRNA gene". The stretch from base 196 to 244 matches the Rfam family "5.8S ribosomal RNA", at positions 1 to 49 of the family's 154-position model. Lineage: Eukaryota; Fungi. The record is from RNAcentral.